RNAcentral lists this ribosomal RNA (253 nucleotides) under uncultured bacterium. Its description in RNAcentral is "partial 16S ribosomal RNA". It matches the Rfam family "Bacterial small subunit ribosomal RNA", at positions 524 to 776 of the family's 1533-position model. The record is from RNAcentral.
UACGUAGGGGGCAAGCGUUGUCCGGAAUCAUUGGGCGUAAAGAGCGUGUAGGCGGCCAGAAAAGUCCGCUGUGAAAACUCGAGGCUCAACUUCGAGCUGUCGGUGGAAACUUUCUGGCUAGAGUCCGGAAGAGGAGAAUGGAAUUCCUGGUGUAGCGGUGGAAUGCGCAGAUAUCAGGAAGAACACCGACGGCGAAGGCAGCUCGCUGGGACGGUACUGACGCUGAGACGCGAAAGCGUGGGGAGCAAACAGG